UACGAAGGGGGCUAGCGUUGUUCGGAAUCACUGGGCGUAAGGGGCGCGUAGGCGGCUUUAUAAGUCGGGGGUGAAAGCCUGUGGCUCAACCACAGAAUUGCCUUCGAUACUGUAGAGCUUGAGACCGGAAGAGGUAAGUGGAACUGCGAGUGUAGAGGUGAAAUUCGUAGAUAUUCGCAAGAACACCAGUGGCGAAGGCGGCUUACUGGUCCGGUUCUGACGCUGAGGCGCGAAAGCGUGGGUAGCAAACAGG
RNAcentral lists this ribosomal RNA (253 nucleotides) under uncultured bacterium. RNAcentral's name for it is "partial 16S ribosomal RNA". It matches the Rfam family "Bacterial small subunit ribosomal RNA", at positions 524 to 776 of the family's 1533-position model. The record is from RNAcentral.